Molecule: ribosomal RNA, 193 nt
Filed under: uncultured bacterium
Lineage: Bacteria
Description: partial 16S ribosomal RNA
Rfam family: Bacterial small subunit ribosomal RNA
Source: RNAcentral
CCUACGGGAGGCAGCAGUCGAGAAUUUUUCUCAAUGGGCGAAAGCCUGAAGGAGCGACGCCGCGUGGGGGAUGAAUGGCUUCGGCCCGUAAACCCCUGUCAUUUGCGAACAAAUUAUUUUACCUAACACGUAAAGUAUUGAUUGUAGCGGAAGAGGAAGGGACGGCUAACUCUGUGCCAGCAGCCGCGGUAAU